This 468-nucleotide ribosomal RNA is filed under the name uncultured bacterium. Its description in RNAcentral is "partial 16S ribosomal RNA". It matches the Rfam family "Bacterial small subunit ribosomal RNA", at positions 28 to 507 of the family's 1533-position model. The record is from RNAcentral.
GAUGAACGCUGACAGAAUGCUUAACACAUGCAAGUCGACUUGAAUUUGGGUUUUUUAACUUAGAUUUGGGUGGCGGACGGGUGAGUAACGCGUAAAGAACUUGCCUCACAGCUAGGGACAACAUUUGGAAACGAAUGCUAAUACCUGAUAUUAUGAUUAUAAGGCAUCUUAGAAUUAUGAAAGCUAUAUGCGCUGUGAGAGAGCUUUGCGUCCCAUUAGCUAGUUGGAGAGGUAACGGCUCACCAAGGAGAUGAUGGGUAGCCGGCCUGAGAGGGUGAACGGCCACAAGGGGACUGAGACACGGCCCUUACUCCUACGGGAGGCAGGAGUGGGGAAUAUUGGACAAUGGACCAAGAGUCUGAUCCAGCAAUUAUGUGUGCACGAUGACGUUUUUCGGAAUGUAAAGUGCUUUCAGUUGGGAAGAAAAAAAUGACGGUACCAACAGAAGAAGUGACGGCUAAAUACGUG